AAUUUAAAAACACCCAAAACGCCCGGGAAGGGGCGCGCCCCCUUUUAUAUAGGGGUUUUCCCUCUGCUCAGAUUGAACGCUGGCGGCAGGCUUAACACAUGCAAGUCGAGCGGAGAGAGGUAGCUUGCUACUGAUCUUAGCGGCGGACGGGUGAGUAAUGCUUAGGAAUCUGCCUAUUAGUGGGGGACAACAUUUCGAAAGGAAUGCUAAUACCGCAUACGUCCUACGGGAGAAAGCAGGGGAUCUUCGGACCUUGCGCUAAUAGAUGAGCCUAAGUCGGAUUAGCUAGUUGGUGGGGUAAAGGCCUACCAAGGCGACGAUCUGUAGCGGGUCUGAGAGGAUGAUCCGCCACACUGGGACUGAGACACGGCCCAGACUCCUACGGGAGGCAGCAGUGGGGAAUAUUGGACAAUGGGCGCAAGCCUGAUCCAGCCAUGCCGCGUGUGUGAAGAAGGCCUUAUGGUUGUAAAGCACUUUAAGCGAGGAGGAGGCUACUUUAGUUAAUACCUAGAGAUAGUGGACGUUACUCGCAGAAUAAGCACCGGCUAACUCUGUGCCAGCAGCCGCGGUAAUACAGAGGGUGCAAGCGUUAAUCGGAUUUACUGGGCGUAAAGCGCGCGUAGGCGGCUAAUUAAGUCAAAUGUGAAAUCCCCGAGCUUAACUUGGGAAUUGCAUUCGAUACUGGUUAGCUAGAGUGUGGGAGAGGAUGGUAGAAUUCCAGGUGUAGCGGUGAAAUGCGUAGAGAUCUGGAGGAAUACCGAUGGCGAAGGCAGCCAUCUGGCCUAACACUGACGCUGAGGUGCGAAAGCAUGGGGAGCAAACAGGAUUAGAUACCCUGGUAGUCCAUGCCGUAAACGAUGUCUACUAGCCGUUGGGGCCUUUGAGGCUUUAGUGGCGCAGCUAACGCGAUAAGUAGACCGCCUGGGGAGACGUACCU
This 937-nucleotide ribosomal RNA is filed under the name Acinetobacter pittii. RNAcentral describes it as "bacterial SSU rRNA". It matches the Rfam family "Bacterial small subunit ribosomal RNA", at positions 1 to 888 of the family's 1533-position model. The record is from RNAcentral. Lineage: Bacteria; Pseudomonadati; Pseudomonadota; Gammaproteobacteria; Moraxellales; Moraxellaceae.